UACGUAGGGUGCGAGCGUUAAUCGGAAUUACUGGGCGUAAAGCGUGCGCAGGCGGUUUUGUAAGCCAGGUGUGAAAUCCCCGGGCUCAACCUGGGAAUGGCAUUUGGGACUGCAAGGCUGGAGUGCGGCAGAGGAGACUGGAAUUCCUGGUGUAGCAGUGAAAUGCGUAGAUAUCAGGAGGAAUACCGAUGGCGAAGGCAGGUCUCUGGGCUGACACUGACGCUCAUGCACGAAAGCGUGGGGAUCAAACAGG
Molecule: ribosomal RNA, 253 nt
Filed under: uncultured bacterium
Lineage: Bacteria
Description: partial 16S ribosomal RNA
Rfam family: Bacterial small subunit ribosomal RNA
Source: RNAcentral